This is a long non-coding RNA of Zea mays, 243 nucleotides long. RefSeq lists it as uncharacterized. The record is from RefSeq and is a predicted model, not a curated record. NCBI's taxonomy places the organism in Eukaryota, Viridiplantae, Streptophyta, Magnoliopsida, Poales, Poaceae. The transcript is spliced from 3 exons.
UGUUUGAUUGCCCUGAUUGAACUCUUCACACAUGUUCCAGUUCUGCGGAACUUUGUCGAGCACCUGAAACGGAAAAUUUUCAACGUUUGCGCUGUUUACCUUCUUGAUUCACAGUUUGUCAGCGAUGUAACAAAAUACAUCAGUGGUUGCAUGGCUUCUCUAUCUGCUAUGAUUCAGCUUGAACUUCCUCAUAUCAACAUCCUUUCAAAGAUGGAUCUGGUCUCCAACAAAAAAGAUGUAGAA